AAUAUCCAUGUCUGGCCGAUUUCCUAAAGCAAACACAGAUGAUCGCAACUCUUCCUCCGUCACUCUUCGUCUCCUAGACACUCCGACCACUCCCUGAAACGUAAUACGUUUCCGUAUUAUGUCUUUCAAUUUCAGCAGUUACUUCGAACCCUCUACUCAUCCUAUUCUCUCUCAAUCAAACAUGUUAUUAUCAUCAAAGGUAACCGCUUGAAGCUCUCGAGUAUAAAUGUAUUUCUUCUAUGCGGUGAAGCCAAUCAGUCUUCCACCUUCCCAUACGAGACAAACCCUAAUCGCCAAAGAUGACUUACACUCGCGACUCCGCUCACGCUUCACCUUCGCGAUGAUGUCAAGCCAUCAAGAUCACCCACGGUUCCCACUAACUCUUCUUCAGUGGAGGGCCCACGAAUCCAAGGGUCAGCACCGUCUUAGCUCCUACAAGCAUACCUUGGAAGAAGACACUGUGUAUAAGCCGAGUGGUUUCUAUUUUGGAAGAAGCAAUCCGACUGACAAGUUUUCUGAUGCGCCAUUGUCUAUUAGAUUCACUGAGCCAAUCCCCACGGAGUUCUUCAGGUUCACUUGCCAAUAGCGACACUCACUUUACAUAUACCAUUGGAGAGGUUAGGGGCAUCAAAACCCUUUACAACCAAGCCACCAGAGCACUCAACACCUCAUCGCAACCUUAAAACUUGAUAUUUUGAUAGGAACACUCCUGUCUGUCUGAGGGUUUUAUGACAGUUUCCCUGCAGACCUUGAUAAAAGAUUAUUGAGCUUUGGUGUUGAACCGUAGAUGGAUAUUGCAACAAAUAUUAACCCAUUUUUUUUGAGUUACAACAACGGAGAAGGCACAGAUCGCACUGGAGUUGUUGAGGGAUAACAAGAACAAGUUUAACCUCCUGAUCAGCGAUGUUGACGUGCCAGACAUGGAUGGGUUCAAGCUUCUUGGUCUUGAAGUGGACUUACCUAUCAUUCUGUUAUCUGCGCAUAGCCAUCCAAAGUAUGUGAUGGAAGGAGUCAAGCACGGUGCCUGCGACUAUCUCCUUUAAAUCAGUUCUAAUUGAGGAGCUCAAGAAUAUAUGGCAACAUGUGGUGGGGAAAAGCAUGUUUAAGAAGAUGAAAAGCAUUUUGACUAACGGGUAAUACCAAGGAAACUCAUGAUCAGAACGGCGUGAAGGCAAACAGAAAACGUAAAGAUCUGCUUGAAGUGGAAAUGAAAACGAUGAUACAACGCUCAAAAGAAGCCUCAUGUUAUUUGGACGUGAGAGCUGCAGUAUAAGUUCCUAGCAGCUGCUAAUCAUGUGGGCAUUGAGAUUAACGUUUGUUGAUCUCUCAUAUACUACACCAGGCCUUCAAGAAUUCAUAUAGCUGACUAUAACACAGACCACCACACUUUAUCUGGUUUUCAAAACACUGGUGAGUUCUCCAAUUUGUUGUACUUUUUGAUACAUCCGAUAUAUGAACUUUAACCUGUAACGGCGACACUCAAGAAUCCAAUUAGAUUAUUGCAUACGCAAUGACCCUCCUCUUUCUUCCAUUUUAAAGCAAUUUAAGAGUCUAAACUAGAAUUUAAAGCUCUCCUUCUGAUGAUCUUAUCGGUCUACUGUCUACAAAUUCUCAAGAUCGUAAUCAAAAACAUGUUUGUCAACUUAUCCGUACGAUGUUUUGUUGCAUGAAGCGCAUAUGUUGCAAGAUGCGCUACAUGUGCACAAACGCAAUCCAUAAUAAAAAAACAUACAACACAAUAACCUAAAAAGCAUAAGCUCUCUCAACUAUACAAACACACAUAAUAAAACAAACAAAUGUAUAACAAAUAAUUUAAAACAAAAUGGACAAACCACUAGAACGAUCUUGAAAAAAACCUCUUCUCCUCACGGUAUGUUUCAAGAACUCAACCUCUCCCUUGGAAAACAAAGCCCAAAUCAAAGUAUCCUAAACCAUGCAAACUAAACGUCCAAACGGAUGAUCAACACAUAGCUUGCCUCAUUAAAAAAAGCCCUUAAAACACUUCCAAAAUAUAAGACUCCGGACCGAAGUCUAAACAAAAAUCCACCUGAAAAUGAAAUCAGUAGAGACAAAUUGAAUAAAUUAAGCUCAAAACAAUUGCAGCAUCUGAUUUAAUAGAAAAAUAAAUAAUCAGCAGUGCUUUAUUUGAACCAGUGAGAACAAUUAGAAACAACUGCCAUAGCUGUUUCCAAGAAAAGAAAAACAGAAAGUGGGAAUAGACACCAAUAGUCAAACUAUAUAGUUACCAAUCAACUAACUAUCCAUUAGUUAUUUACGAGUAGGAGCAACUUAUUCAAACAAUAGAGGAUUUACA
Molecule: long non-coding RNA, 2314 nt
Organism: Raphanus sativus (radish)
Lineage: Eukaryota; Viridiplantae; Streptophyta; Magnoliopsida; Brassicales; Brassicaceae
Exons: 6
Source: RefSeq, a predicted model, not a curated record